RNAcentral lists this ribosomal RNA (881 nucleotides) under uncultured bacterium. Its description in RNAcentral is "bacterial SSU rRNA". It matches the Rfam family "Bacterial small subunit ribosomal RNA", at positions 8 to 916 of the family's 1533-position model. The record is from RNAcentral.
AGAGUUUGAUCCUGGCUCAGGACAAACGCUGGCGGCGUGCCUAAAACAUGCAAGUCGAACGGCUCUUUCGGGAGCAGUGGCGGACGGCUGAGUAACACGUAGGUGACCUACCCUUGAGUGGGGAAUAACGGUCCGAAAGGAUCGCUAAUACCGCAUACGACCAUUCGGCUUCGGCCGGAUGAGGAAAGCCGCAAGGCGCUCGUGGAUGGGCCUGCGUCCGAUUAGCUAGUUGGUGGGGUAACGGCCUACCAAGGCGACGAUCGGUAGCUGGUCUAAGAGGAUGAUCAGCCAGACUGGGACUGUGACACGGCCCAGACUCCUACGGGAGGCAGCAGUUAGGAAUCUUGGGCAAUGGGCGAAAGCCUGACCCAGCAACGCCGCGUGGGUGACGAAGGCCUUCGGGUCGUAAAGCCCUUUUGCACGGGAAGAUGAUGACGGUACCGUGCGAAUAAGCCCCGGCUAACUACGUGCCAGCAGCCGCGGUAAUACGUAGGGGGCGAGCGUUGUCCGGAUUUAUUGGGCGUAAAAGGCUUGUAGGUGGCCACGCGAAGUCGGAUGUGAAAUCUCCCGGCUCAACUGGGAGGGGUCAUUCGAUACUGGCGGGCUCGAGGCCGGUAGGGGGAAGCGGAAUUCCGGGUGUAGUGGUGGAAUGCGUAGAUAUCCGGAGGAACACCAGUGGCGAAGGCGGCUUCCUGGACCGGUUCUGACACUGAGGAGCGAAAGCGUGGGGAGCGAUCCGGAUUAGAUACCCGGGUAGUCCACGCCGUAAACGUUGGGCACUAGAUGUCGGGGGUAUCGACCCCUCCGGUGUCGCAGCUAACGCAUUAAGUGCCCUGCCUGGGGAGUACGGCCGCAAGGCUAAAACUCAAAGGAAUUGACGG